Molecule: ribosomal RNA, 478 nt
Filed under: uncultured bacterium
Lineage: Bacteria
Description: partial 16S ribosomal RNA
Rfam family: Bacterial small subunit ribosomal RNA
Source: RNAcentral
GACGAACGCUGGCGGCGUGCUUAACACAUGCAAGUCGAACGGUAAGGCCCUUCGGGGUACACGAGUGGCGAACGGGUGAGUAACACGUGGGUGAUCUGCCCUGCACUUCGGGAUAAGCCUGGGAAACUGGGUCUAAUACCGGAUAGGACUCCUGGCUUCAUGGUUGGGGGUGGAAAGCUUUUGCGGUGUGGGAUGGGCCCGCGGCCUAUCAGCUUGUUGGUGGGGUAAUGGCCUACCAAGGCGACGACGGGUAGCCGGCCUGAGAGGGUGACCGGUCACACUGGGACUGGGAUACGGCCCAGACUCGUACGGGAGGCAGCAGAGGGGAAUAUUGCACAAUGGGCGCAAGCCGGAUGCAGCGACGCCGCGUGAGGGAUGACGGCCUUCGGGUUGUAAACCUCUUUCAGCACCGACGAAGCGCAAGUGACGGUAGGUGCAGAAGAAGGACCGGCCAACUACGUGCCAGCCGCCGCCGUAA